RNAcentral lists this ribosomal RNA (501 nucleotides) under uncultured bacterium. RNAcentral's name for it is "partial 16S ribosomal RNA". It matches the Rfam family "Bacterial small subunit ribosomal RNA", at positions 30 to 523 of the family's 1533-position model. The record is from RNAcentral.
AUUGAACGCUGGCGGCAGGCUUAACACAUGCAAGUCGAGCGGAGCGAGGGUGCUUGCACCUUAGCUUAGCGGCGGACGGGUGAGUAAUGCUUAGGAAUCUGCCUAUUAGUGGGGGACAACAUUCCGAAAGGAAUGCUAAUACCGCAUACGCCCUACGGGGGAAAGCAGGGGAUCUUCGGACCUUGCGCUAAUAGAUGAGCCUAAGUCGGAUUAGCUAGUUGGUGGGGUAAAGGCCUACCAAGGCGACGAUCUGUAGCGGGUCUGAGAGGAUGAUCCGCCACACUGGGACUGAGACACGGCCCAGACUCCUACGGGAGGCAGCAGUGGGGAAUAUUGGACAAUGGGCGGAAGCCUGAUCCAGCCAUGCCGCGUGUGUGAAGAAGGCCUUUUGGUUGUAAAGCACUUUAAGCGAGGAGGAGGCUACUUAGAUUAAUACUCUGGGAUAGUGGACGUUACUCGCAGAAUAAGCACCGGCUAACUCUGUGCCAGCCGCCGCGGUAA